AUAAGUAGUUGUUUUAUCAGAAUUUUUUUUUAUUCAAUUUUGAAAAAGAAAUUUAAAAAUAUAAUGCCUUGUCGCUGUGACUCCAAUCCUUGCAGUACAUGCAUAUGUGCCAAAUCUAAUGAAGCAUGUACAUCUGAGUGUCAUGGAAAAAAAGAUUGGGCUAAUGUUCCUUGUUUAAAUACAGAGGUUGGGAAAAAAGUUAAAAGUAUGUCAAUCAAAGACAUAAGAUUAGCUCUUUGUGCUAACCAAUUAUCUCCUGUUGGCGAUAAAAGUGAACUUCUCAAACGCUUAGCAGUUUUUUUUCAAAACCAGAAAAGUGUUAAUGUAAAUAAUCCUGAAAGUUCUAAAUCGGAAACCAAGCCCUCGAGUAAUCACCAAGCAAGUAAAAACCAGUUGUUUGAAAUAAUUCUUGAAAGUGAAGGGAAUCACGAACUCAUUUUAUCGUUAAGUGGGCAAACUGUGACCAAAAACUCAAGUAAAUCUGAUCUUAGGCGUGCUUAUCUUCUUUUAAGUUCGAAAGUGCAUCCAGAUAAAAAUAGUAAUGCAAAAGAAUCAGUACAAGCAUUUCAAAUUCUAUUAAAUGCAUUUGAAAGACUUUCAAAUCCUGACAAAUUUGAGCUUGAAAGUGAUGAAGAAAAGCCUGCUAAAAAAAGGCAAAAAACUGAACAGUAUAUGCGAUCAAAUGAUGGAUGUUUUAAAACAAAAAUUAAGUGCCCUCAAUGUAUGCAAACAUGGGGUGGUAAUGAAUUGGGUUUGGAAGAUGGUGCUUAUAAUUUUUUUAUGAUGGCUAUUAAACAAUAUAUAUGUGGAAGAUGCUCAUGUGAAUUUGGAUGUAUGACAGCUGUUCAUUAUUGCCCGCAUUGCAAUAAGACAUUUGAUUAUGACCCAGAUGACUAUCAUCGCCAAAUAAUUUGUGGAAAUGGAAAUUGUUCUAAAAAGUUUGGUUUUAUGAUGUUUAAAGUUUCAGCCAGGCGAGAAAAUGAAGUACGAGCUGAAGCUAAGCUAAAGCAUGAGCAGUAUUUAAAACGUAUAUCUCAAAAAAAUCGUCGUGCUGCAAGAUCUGAUAAGCGUUCUGUUAAAAUUUAUGGCACUGUUGAUGAGAAUUUACAAGAAAAACUUUUUAUUAUUGGAUUGCGGGAUACAUGUCCCCGCUGUGGAUGGGAAAUAGAUAGAAGCGACGAAUUAGAAGAAGCCAAAGUUCAUUUAGAUAACUGUAAUAAUGAGAGUGUUAUUGAAGCAUAUAAAAAGAAGUUACAGGAAGAAGAAGCACAAAGUAAAAUAAAACUACAAAAAGAAAUGAGCCAAGCAGAAAUUAUGGGAAUAAAGCAGUGGGAGCAUAAUGGCAGACAGGUGGGACAAUUGUGGAUGCUAAGUGAUGCUAUGCUUAAAAAACUUUGCGCAGAUUUAAAACUUGAAGUGACAGGUCUUCGACAUGAAAUCAUUUCAAAAUUGUCAAAUUAUCUUAGGUCUAACCAGAGAUUAAUGUUAACAGAUGGUAAAAACAAAAGAAGCAUUGAAGCUAAUUUUGACACCACAUCUCUUGCUAAAGUAGACAUAGACGAUCUUCCUAAAAACAUUAACCAAAUGGAGCGAGAGGAGUUGCAAGACCUCUGUGCUAGCUAUGGUGUAAAGUUUGACGCUAAGAAAGAUGUCAAAUCUAUUUUAAUAAAAAAGUUUGAGUCAGCAAGAAUGUCAGGACAAAAUAAACUCAUGAUCUGUGACAAGCAUAAAGAUUCUGACGAAUCUCUUGAUGAAUCAAGUGACACAGAUUACAAUAUUUCUUUUGAUUUAAAAAAAUGAAAUUUGUUUAUGUUUUAAUUUAUGAUUUGGCUUUUAUGAAAGAAACUGUUGCUUAUUAAAUAGAUUUUUUUGUUUUUAUUCUAAAUUUUUUUUUAUUUGUAAAGAUUUUCAUUUAUAUUAAUACUAUGAUUAUAUCAUAAUAGCAAAAGGUAUUACUAAAUUAAAGUUGCAAUAAGAUUUGUUUAAAAAUUGUUUGCAUUGGACUCAAUUUUGAGUAGGACAUAAAUGCCAAGCAAACCAAAGGAUAGUGAGUUAGGGUGUGUUCACUUUGAUGGAACACUUGUUCAUCUGAUUCUAAAUGAAGUAAAGAAUAAUGUUCUUCCUGAUGAAGAAAUACAAGUUCCUGAAUGGGAAUUGCCGCCCGCCGAUCAAGAUGGAGACCAUGUGGGUGAUUCAAUUAGAGAAAGAGAAGAUAAAUGGACUGAAUUGAGAACGGCUUCGGAAAUGAGACCUGGUUUUCUUCCAGCUUCACUUGUGCGUUAACAAAUAUGAUUUUUAAA
Hydra vulgaris (swiftwater hydra) is the source of this 2300-nucleotide long non-coding RNA. RefSeq lists it as uncharacterized. The record is from RefSeq and is a predicted model, not a curated record. NCBI's taxonomy places the organism in Eukaryota, Metazoa, Cnidaria, Hydrozoa, Anthoathecata, Hydridae.